RNAcentral lists this long non-coding RNA (308 nucleotides) under Mytilus galloprovincialis (Mediterranean mussel). Lineage: Eukaryota; Metazoa; Mollusca; Bivalvia; Mytilida; Mytilidae. The record is from RNAcentral.
GCUCGAAUUUAUCAUUUUUUUCGUGUAAAUUUCGUAUAAUUGUCAAUUUUUUUUCUCAAUCGGUCAGUGUUGUGUGAAAAUAUGGCAGGUAAUUAAAGUUGUGUUUUGAAGCCGAAGUUUAACGAUUGUCACCUGUUUGUCAACAAUUGACGAAAAAUAAACAAAAAAGCAUGGAAAUUGAGCACGUGUUUAACAUGUAAAUUCAGAUAAUAGUUUAUUUUAAGGACAUCCAUGCGUAUUGUGGUCACCGGAUUUUUACGAGAUGGGUCACACUGAGGUCACCUUGCAUACGGAAAAUAUGUCGGGGG